Molecule: ribosomal RNA, 253 nt
Filed under: uncultured bacterium
Lineage: Bacteria
Description: partial 16S ribosomal RNA
Rfam family: Bacterial small subunit ribosomal RNA
Source: RNAcentral
UACGUAGGGUCCGAGCGUUGUCCGGAAUUAUUGGGCGUAAAGGGCUCGUAGGCGGUUCGUCACGUCGGGAGUGAAAACUCGGAGCUCAACUCCGAGCCUGCUUCCGAUACGGGCAGACUAGAGGUAGGCAGGGGAGAGCGGAACUCCUGGUGUAGCGGUGGAAUGCGCAGAUAUCAGGAAGAACACCAAUGGCGAAGGCAGCUCUCUGGGACGGUACUGACGCUGAGGCACGAAGGCCAGGGGAGCAAACGGG